AUUGUAAGUCCUCUUUAACCUUUAAAUAAGAAGAUAAACAUGUUUCAUCACGCUUGAACCCACAUCAAAAAAAUAGUGUUAAUAUCAAAAUUAAUCUAUACUAUAGUUAAAACUCUGGUUGAAUUGGUGUCACGAGUUAAAAUGGGUACUAGCUCAAAUGAGGGUAGUUUUAUCUUUUUAUAUUUUAUAUAAAAUCAAUAAAAACCCAAAUAUGGUGGAAUUUGAAUAUAAGAUAUUAUUAUAAUUGUUAAAUUUUCUUUCACCCACAUAUUACGUUUAAAUUUAUUUAAGGCUUGAACUACUCACUUAAGUCUGAAGGUUCAUCCAAAAUAUUAGAAGGUUUGGACAAAAGUAUUUAAUCCCAAAAAUGAGCUUCGAUAAAAAAAAUUAAACCCAUUUAAAAUAUGAGUUAUACUCAACGUUUAAAUAUGCCGAAUGAUCAACGAAAUUCAACUUCCACUCUAAACUGAAGUUGGAAGAAUAAAAAUGAAUCCAUCAGAAUUAUAUUUCAAAUUCCAAAUUUAAUUUAAGAUCAUACGACCCCAAUAAAAUAUGAUUGCUUUGAAGGGUGAAUGUUGGUGGUAGCUAUUGUGGAUGUUCUUUCGAUGGGCCGAAGAGCCGCAAAUAAUGUUGGAGAUGGUGCAGAGGUUACAGGAGAAAACUGUGUUGAUAGAGUAGUGUCUGCGUCUUGUUAUAGGAAUAUAGGGUUUAGAAAGGUAUUUAAGCCUUAAGGGAGACAUUUUAAGUAGGAUUCUUCCCUAAUAAUACGUUAAAAUUUUGUUAAAAAAAAUUUGUAUCAUUUUUUUUUUGGUGAGUGGUCAUAUGCAGUGGUCCACUUUAUCAAUCAUCCAAUAAGAUGUUUUCACCCUAUUGAAGUAUGGUCCACUUUGUCAAGCAUCCCAUAAAAUGUUUUCACUCUAUUGAAUCUACUAUCUCUUUAAGUUACCUCUUCAAGUAUUAGAAAUUUUUUUUAAGGGAGAUAAAACCCUUAUCAAGAAUAAUAUCGACAUGUUCAAAGGUUCGUCUAUCUCCCAACAGAGAAAGCUUUAUAGACUCCUUUUUGGACCUCCAGUCAACAAAGAAAUGACACAUGAUUUUUAUAUAUGAUUUUGUAUCUGCAUUAUGAAGGAAUGCAAGUCUUUAAGACUCCAAGAAAAAUGAUCAAAUCGCAACUUUUCUUAAUUUAUUGAUUUAAACAUAUCACUUAGAAUUGAGUUAAUAAUUGUGUAGCCAAGAAUUAUUUGUAGUAAUGGUUAGAAUUUUUGUUAGACACUCAGAUGAUACGGAUUCAAAUUUUGCCAUAAAUUUUUUAAUAUUACAUUUAUCAAUAAAAAAUACCAAUUUUAAAGAAAAUUUAAGGUUUUAGGUUAAUUUUUUCAAAAAUUAGGGAAAUAUUUUUUGGAGAGAAAUAAAAAUGCAUUUUACAAGCACAUAAUUUUCACCAUCUCUUUUGCCACGUCAGCUAAAAAUACUCCCUAUAGGAGAUGUUUUUGCAAAUAUUAUAUACAUAAAUGUAUGAUUAAGUAGAAGAGAUACAUUUCAAAACAAAAGGAAAACAAGUCCAACCCCGACCAAUACGAACACCAAAGCCUUUUUGGAGAUCAUAAGUAUGUAUGAUAUUACUUACUCAAGGGUUAAAAGACAAGAGUGUUUUCGAGUUUGCCUUACAUGAAAUUAAGGUUCUUGCACAAUGAGUGAAAAUUUGGCGAAUAUGCCUCACUUUCACUCUCUCUCCUACCACGUCAGUUAAAAUCGCUCCUUGGAGGAGGCAAUUUUAUCCCCUCUCUCUAAAAACAGUCUAUUUCCCUAUUUUAUGAAAAAAUUUGACCUAAAACCCUAAAUAUUCUUUUAAAUCAACAUAUAUUCCCCAUUAACUCAAAAAUAAUUAAGUUAUAUUUUUUGAAAAAAAAUUAAUGAUUUAAUUUGUUAUAGUUAAAUAUAUAUGAUUUAUAUUUGGUGCAAUAUAUAAAAUAUAAAUGAAAUAAUAUUAUUUUAUGAAAAUAUAUUUUAAAGUAGACCAACUCGAGGAUUGGCUUACUGAUUGUAUUUUGGUUUGAAUUUUGUGAAAUAUAAGACAAUUGGUAAGUUGAAGAAUUGAGGGAACUUCGGUAAGCGUGUUUUUCCGGGGGAAGGACAUAGCUCACACUUCCUACAAUUUUAUAAAAUAUUAAAUUAAUUUGUUUUCUCUCCCUAUAUUAUUAAAUUGUUAUGGCAUAAAAUAAAAAUGAAAUAAAUAAUUGCAACCUAUAUGGAAUACCCAAUUAAUGAUAUAUUGAUAUUAAAAAUGUUUCAAUAUUUAAUAUUUUGAUUUAAAAAGUAAUAUAAAGUUGUAAUAAAAAAUAUUAAAACAAUUUAAAUAGAGUACAUCAAAUCAUAUAUAUAAUAUAUUUUAACGAGCACAAUUACAUAGAAGGCAUCGACACGUAAAAAAAAAGGAUUUGUUUUUUAUUAUUAAUUCAAUCUAUGAAAGAGGUAGUUGACUUUAAAAAUAAUUGGAAAAUAGUAAUUAUAAGCAUAUGCUACAAAAUUAACUUUUUGGGCUGCAAGAUAAUAAAAAAGUUGUUGAUCUAUUUAAAGCAGUUGGAUAAAGAUUUAAAAAUUAGAGGACCAAUAAUGAAAUAAAGAGAAAGCAAAAGACCUUAACGGGGAAACGAAAAAAACAGAGGGUUAAAAGUGAAAUGAAUUUUUUUUAUAUAUAUAUUUUGAUAUCUAAACUUUUCUUAAUUUUAAUUUCAGGCUUUUUUUAUUGUAGAUAAUUGUGAUGAGAAUAAGAAUAAUUUGUGUAUUAAAGUGGAAAAAGUUAAAUAGUAAAGAUGAAUAAAUUGGUCUUAAAUGUCAAAAUGAAGAAAUCAUACAUUUUGAAAUUUAUUAGAUUGAGAAUAUUCUUAACCAAACCACAGGAAAUGGAAUAAGUCAAAAUGUAACAUUAUUUUUCAUCGACUGAAUUUUGAGUUGAGCAAGGACGUUUCUUUUUAAAUAUCUCCCUCUCUCCAACUGAACACUUCAUUGAAAAGAAAAUUGUAGAAAAAUAGAAGAGCAUGGAUAGAGAGCAAGAAGAGAUGCAAUUUGUAGGGUUCUUUGGCAUAUUCAAACAAUCCUACAAAAUCAUAUCAUCAUCGAGAGAACUCUUCGCCAAGAUCACUUUAGCUUUAAUCCUUCCUCUAUCCUUCAUCUACCUUGUUCAUUUAGAAGUUUCAAGUCUAUUCUCAAGGAAUAUUAUCCUCAACAAAUUAGAACUGAAUCAUUCACCACCCGGCACUGCAAAAUUCGAGAAACUAUCUCAUCUUAUCUCCCAUGAAACAGUUUACCUUUGGCUUUUCAACGCAGCCUACUUCACGUUGACUUUCAUCCUUUCCCUUCUUUCACUUGCUGCAGUUGUUUAUACCACCGCCUGCAUAUAUACAGCUCGGGAGCUCUCCUUCAACCAAGUCAUAAGCGUUGUUCCCAAAGUUUGGAAGCGGCUGCUCUUCACGUUCCUGUGUAUUUUCGUUGUCACGUUUGUCUAUUUCCUUGUAUUUUUCCUUGUCCUGGUUGCUUGUGGUGCAGUUUCCCUUGUCUUGAUUAGUUGCGGAAUUCCUGUGGGACUAAUAAAAAUCAUGGGUGCAGUGUUCCUCAUUUUAAUCAUUUUGUUCAAUGUGGGGUACUUCUUGUAUUUGAUCACGAUCUGGAACUUGGCUUGCAUUGUCACUGUUCUAGAAGAGGUAUAUGGGUUCGCAGCCAUGGUGAAGAGCAAGAACCUGAUCAAAGGAAAGAUAUGGUUGGCGAUAUCCAUAACCUUUAUCCUCAGUCUGGCGGGGGGAUUGAACGUCAUCGCAUUCCAGAGGCUGGUUGUGGAAGGAUCCAGCAUGGCCAUGGCUAACAGGUUUGUUUAUGCAAUCAUUUGUUUAUUGUUGCUUUCCACGAUGAGUCUUUUCAGAUUAGUCAUCGAGACAGUGAUUUUCUUCGUCUGCAAAUCUUACCAUCGUGAAAACAUCGACAAAACUGUCUUGUCGGAUCACCUAGAAGUUUACCUGCAGGGAGAAUAUGCUCCUUUGAAGGCCAAGGAUGUUCAGCUUUUUCAUGUUUGAUUGACUUGAAAGUCAAUCGAUAUAAAAAUUAUGAAAUGUAUUCAACUUCAAUCUAUACAAAAAUAAUGUAAGGCUUUUUAUAGCUGAAACGGUGCUUUGUAUCUCAUCUGUGAAACUAGAUUCGGAUUUUUAACUUUAUUUUCUUUACUUAUUAUUAAUUCUAUUAUGUAGUCCUAGGUGGUACAUGUAUGUUUCGGUUGUAACUGAAUUUCUUCUCUAGCCUCAGUCCUUACAACAACACAUGUACAACGUGGUAUGAAUAUAAACUAUAAUAUUAAAUAUAUUAAUCAUUUUACACCCUCAAAAAAAUAAAUUAUUAUAAUCUAUUAUCAGUGUUUUAUUUGGUUCAGGUUCAUGCUAAGUGAGGCAUGAAUGACUUAAAACAAAACCCACAUAACUAUUAGUCUAACUCGAUCUAAAUCCAACAUGCCAUACAAGGUAUGUUCUUGGUGGAUAUUACUUGUUGAUCAUACAUGUUGCACCCGAUUAACUUCUGUUUAUGUUGUGACGGUUAGGGUGACAUUAUGUAUAUGCAGAUCACUGCAACAAAUAGGUUUUUAGGUUUUUAGCGGCUUUCCAAAAACGCUGUUAUAGACAACGCCGCUAAAUUUUACGGCGUUUAUAUAAAAAAAAUGCCGCUAAUGGUCGAUCUAUAACAGCGUUUUUUGUUGAUAAUUAAUUUCUGCUUCUAAUGUUUAACAAUGGUGGUGGAAUCAACUUCGAACUUAAAACAUGCAGAGUUUCUAUAUGCAUUCCAAGUCCGUGCAUACAGUGUUAUGAUUGUAUGGACUUAUACUGAAUCCUGGAUAACAAAAGGAAUGCUAACCUGAUGACUAAUAGUUGCAUAUAAUCAUAUUUACAACUUCGUUUUAAGUUGUUUGUAGCUUGAUCUAAACCUUGGUUCUUAAUGACAACAAAUAUUAACUCCUAUCUUUAUUUUGAGCAUUCAAAUAACAUAACAUAAUUUUUUUCUAACCUUUUGUUUCUCAGACGAACCAUGCUUGAUCCAAUAAUAGUCUUUGGACGUGAAUUCUUUGAGGACUGUUUAGUGCACCUUGUUGUUGCAUCAAUAGCUUCUUCAGAACUAGCCAUUGAGAUAGACAAUCCUCAAAAAACUGCACGAUAAGCCGAAAGCAAGUGUGGCUCCCCCACUUACCACUAAUUCCUGAAAUUUCCAUUUUGUGGAAAUGGAUGGUCAGUCCUUAUCAAACAUCAAACUAAUAACAGUUCUAGUUAGGUUGUUUUAAGUUUGUUGCAACAUAUUUUCUGUAAUUCAUAACAGCACUUCUCGUUGUGCAAUCCUGAAUGGAGGCUGUUCAGAAAGAAGAAAAGAUGGCAACAUCAUUGAAAGAAACUCAGAGACGAAAGGAAUAAUACAUUCAACAAAGAACUUCUCAAUAGUUUGGAAUUUGUUCCUUUCAUGAUUAGAAAGGUAUGGUUUUGCGAUGAUACCUGUCAAAUGUCAAAGUCUUCUGAAUGCACAUCAUUGUAGCCCCCCCCCCCCCAACCCCUUAUUUUUAGAGCCAUUAGCCAUUUAGGAAUAGUGGGUUUGGGGAAUUUCCUUGGUUUUUUUUCAAUUUUCUGUCGGUAAACGGGCAAAAUACUAAAAAAAGUCUUUUUUUUAAAUUUACCGAAAUAGACCCGGUAUUUUAUUAUUUACCGGAAUGGGUCCUUUUCCCCUAAAUCGCGUCCAUGUAAGCGCAAAGUCAGGGGAUAUGUCAGCAAAUCGCGUCCACGUCAGCGCGCUAUGCUGACGCGGCAACAAAGCGCGUCCUUGAAAGUGCGAUUUGUGUCCACAUCAUCAAAGCGCGCUGACGUGGACGCGAUUUGCUACCACGUCGCGCGCCCUUGGGGACGCGAUUUCGCCACGUUAGGAUUUUUAGGGUUUUUUAGAUUUUUAGGGUUUUGGAGAGAAAUUAAUUAAUUAAUUAAAAUUAAAUUACGUUUUGUAAUUAAAAUUUAUUAAAUUUUAGGGUUUAAGGUUUCGUAAUUAAAUUAAUUAAAAUUUAUUCAAAAUUGGAUUAUGUUUCAUGUUUAUGGGUUUUUAAGAUAAAAUCAAAGUAGGAUGAUUUAUCAGAAGAAUUUUUGCAGUCGCGCCCACUUGUACGCGCUUUUGCUACAGUAGGUCCUGGAAAAAUAAUUUCGAGUUGACGUUUUUGAGCAAAUAGUAUAAAAAACGCUUCAAGCAGGAUGCUAUAUGCGAAGAAUUUGUGAAAUCGCGCCCUCAUGGACGCGCUUUUGCUACAGUUGGUCCUGGAAGAAAUAAUUUCGAGUUUACGUUUCUGAGUAAAUAGUAUAAAAUCGCUUCUACCAUGAUGCUUUAUGAGAAGAAUUUGUGAAAUCGCGCCCACAUGGACGCGCUUUUGCUACAGUUGGUCCUGGAAGAAAUAAUUUCGAGUUUACGUUUCUGAGCAAAUAGUAUAAAAUCGCUUCUACCAUGAUGCUUUAUGAGAAGAAUUUGUGAAAUCGCGCCCACGUGGACGCGCUUUUGCUACAGUAGGUCCUGAAAAAAUUAUUUCGAGUUGAUGUUUCUGAGCAAAUAGUAUAAAAAACGCUUCAAGCAGGAUGCUAUUUGAGAAGAAUUUCUGAAAUCGCGCCCUCGUGGACGCACUUUUGCUAUAGUUAGUCCUGGAAGAAAUAAUUUCGAGUUGACGUUUCUGAGCAAAUAGUAUAAAAUCGCUUCUGCUAGGAUGCUUUAUGAGAAGAAUUUGUGAAAUCGCGCCCACGUGGACGCGCUUUUGCUACAAUAGCAUGUUUGGACUGAGGCUAUAAAUGAGGCAAAAAAUGUUCUCAGAAUGCGUAAGUCACAGCAGAAACAACUUAGAGAGGCUAAAAAGGUUAGAGUUUCAAAUAUGAGUGAACGUAUUAGUGCUGUUAUUUACUACGAUGGUGAGAUUUGCCACACUGAGAAUGGUGUUGUUCUUUUGUCGGAGAAUACGGUGCGACCGGUUUUUAACCAGAACAUAGAUUUGACAGAACUUCGUAAAAUAAUUAGGCGUAAAAUUUUCGGAACGACGCCAAUGAAAGUUAUGUCUAUCACGUAUCAAUUUUGUUCUUCUGUUGAUCCGGUGACAUAUGACUCGUUCGACAUAAAAGGUGUUCGUAGCUUGGAGGCAAUGGUGUAGACUCAUCUUGCUAGUGAAGCACCUUAUAUUGAGUUACAUGUACAAUUUACAUCGCUAAAUGAUGUACUUGCGAUCGGUGUUCGAGAUGUAUACACGACCCCUGACCGACACUCGGUUAGCGGGUUACAAAAUAUAGAACAACUCAUGUUUGGUAGCGGUGUCGAAUGCACAUCCCCUGGAAGACACCCUGUCGGUGGAUGAGACAUGUACAUCGGUGGCUCGAUGUUUGAUGCUGGAAAUACGUACUGGGGAACGGCAUCAAGUUCUAGUGGGCGGCAAUCUACAUCCAAUUGGGGACGUUAUGAAAUGCCCAUAAGAAGGGAUGAUGUACUCCCUACGAUGUCAACCGGUGAGGGGACCUCGUACGCUGCAGAUUAUUGUAGGUUAGAAGAUGACUCCGAUGUAGAUCCACCUCGAGGGUCUGGGCCCGAUGGUGCAGAAGUUGGCUUAUUUUCUGAAACGGAGCCUAUUCCAACAGAACCUAAAAAUGCUGAAAGGAGUACAGAUGAAGAAGAAAAUCCACGAUUCAGAGCAUACUCACCUCCAGCCCACAUGCAUAAUGUCGAUCUGUCUGCAGAUGAUGCGUUAGAGUUUUCAGAUCUACCACACUGGUUGUAUGAUAGUACAAGUUCGGGGGUAGAUUCGGGUGAAUUUGAAGUUGGUAAUCAGUUUACCAACAAUGAUAGUUUUAUUGGUGCUUUGAAACAACAUAGCAUCAAAAAUGGCGUUAACUACCACGUCUUUAAAUCCAAAUCUGAUAAGUUUGAGGCGAAGUGUGCGAUGCAAGACGACACAUGUUCAUGGAAAAUCUACACCUCGUUAAGGAAAAAGACAGGGUUGUGGGAGAUUAAAAAGUACAAAGGUCCACAUACAUGUGCUGCAGGUACAGUAUUGACGGUUUCUGGAUAAUACUUUUAUUAUGUAAUGUUGUAUUAUUUAAUGUACUCCGUUUAUAGGUGUUUCACAAGAUCAUACCAAGAUGGAUUUAGCUAUGUUAGCUAGCUUGAUACUACCCAUGGUAAAAGCAGAUCCCAAGACUUCAGUGCCAGUGUUAAUUGUCAAUAUUCGUAGCCAAAUGGGGUACACGCCCUCUUACCGCGAGGCUUGGAUAGCUAAGCAAAAGGCGUUGAAGAAUAUGCAUAGUGGGUGGGACGUCUCAUAUAAUGAAAUAUGGCAGUGGUGUCAGGUGCUAAAGAGAUACGUCCCAGGUGCCAUCACAGACCUUGAAAUAGAACAUGCGUACUACAACGGCCGAUUGCUACGUGGAUGCCAAGUAUUCAAACGCCUUGUUGACACCAUUUUUUUGAUGAAAACGGGGUCGACUUGGGUUUUGAAAAAUGAAUGAAAAAACGGGAGUCGCCACCAAUCCUUUUUAAUAAGGUGUGAUUGGAUCACCUUAAAAGUGGUUAUUUUUAAUAAACAAUUUGAUUUUAUUAAAACAACGAUUUUAGUCCGCGAAAUUUAGAAAAAACGGGUUCAGGAGUCGAUUACGCACGAGGAAGGAUUAGCACCCUCGUAACGCCUAAAAUUGGUACCUAAUUGAUUAGUUAAUGUCUUAAUGUUGAAAAUUGUAAACUUUGAAGAAUUUAAAAAAAAAUACGAUCCUUGUAUUGAAAUAUUGAAAUUUUUCGAAAAAGGGGGGGCAUAUUUCACAUUAAUCGAGAAAGAGAAUCAUAUACAGUAAGAUAGGACACAAUGUCUCGAAUUCCCGAUACGUAAAAAAUGCUUAUUUAAAAGAUAUUUUAUCUAUCUCAGAUUUAAAAAAAAAGAAAAUCACGACCAGUAAGUUAGGACGCGAUUUUUAAAUUUCCGAGAUCAUUUAAAACUUGAGUUUGAAAAGAUUCGUGCAUUUAGAUUUAUCAUGAAAAUUGAAACCCAGUAAGUGAGGGUACGAUCUUCUCGAAUCUAAACACGAAACGCCAUUUUUUAAAAUAAAUUUUGUUAUAUCGAGUAAAAUAAAACACAAAGUCAUAAUAAAGAAUGUGAAAACUAACUACAUUGUCGAUAUGCGAAAUAAUAAAGAACAGAUUGAUAACAUGCGAAAUAAUAAACCGUAACAUAUAAAUAAGAUGCAUAAAUACGUAUAAAUAUUAUAAAAAAAUAAAAAUAAAUAUGUAGAUAUAUAUAGAUAUAUAUAUAAGUUAUAAAAUAUAAAAAUAUGUAUAAGUAUGUGUAUAUAUAUACAAGUAAAUUAUGAAAAUAUGUACGUAUAUAUAUUAUAAAAAUAUGUAUAUAUAUAAAUUAUAAAGUUUUAAAUAUAUAUAUAUAAGGAGGUAUAUAACAAAAUCUAAAAGGGGUAUAAAUAGGUAAAUAAAAAUAAUAAUAAGGUAAGCAAUAAUAAUAAUAAUACUAUAUUAAUGAUAUAAUAUAAUAGUAGUAAUAAGACUGAAAUAGCUAAUCUAAUAAUAAAAUAGCUAAAAAAACAAAGCAGGAUCAAAUUGGAAAUAAACUAAAUCUUUAGGGAGAAAUCAAAACUGAAAAAUAAAGAAAUGGACCAAAUUGUGAUGCACGCAAAAAGUAGAAGGGCCAAUUAGGAAAUAUUCCCACAUCACUGAAACGGUGCCGUUCUAGGGGAAUACAAGUGCAUGGUCGAAGGACCAAAUCAAAACAAAAGUAAAACUACGUAGCCAAAAUCAAAAAUAAGAAGGAGAUCUUAUCGAACACGCCACAAAGGAGAGGGGACCUAUGGUGCAAAUAUCCCCCUAAGGCAAAACGCGCGGACCCUUCGGAUCGGGUCCGGUCAACGAGCGGAUCCCCCUCACCAAAACGACGCCGUUUCACUUUUAGUAUAAAUAUUUAAAAAAACUCAAAAAAAAUCAGAUUCACCAUUUUUUUAAAAAAACUGAGAGAGAACUCUCUCUCGCGCGUUCCCUUAGGCCCUGGCGCCGGUCAUCAGCCGAUCUAGGCCUCCGGCGUGCCUCCGCCUUAAAACCGCCGCAUGCGGUGGCCGACGACUCCAAAAUCGGAUUUUUUUUAUCCUUUUUUGAAGCCAGGCAUGUCUUAGGCACAAAUCUAGGGCCAAACCUCAAAAAAAAAAGAGUCCGAAGCCUGAAGAACGAUGGGAGACCGCUCGUCUUCUCCCUUCCGGUGCGGCGCAGGUAAGCUUUCUUUGCCUCCUUUUUAUUUCUUAUUUCUUAUGUAAAAGAUAAAAUAAAAAAAUAAAAUAAAACAAGUAGAAACGCAAAUCUGAAAAAAAGAAGAAGAAAAAGUCACCUUCAAAAUAUGUUUUGGUUUUUUUUAUUUAUCUUAAUGUUCAUAGCAAACCGAAAGAACAGAAAAAUCUUCUUCUUUUAUAGCAAACUCGGCUUUUUCCGAAAAGAAAAAUAAAAGAAAGAAAAAUCCCCCCUUUUUAUUACAUUAAACUUUUGCUUUUAUAGCCAAGUAUAUGUUUUUGCUACUGUUUGUUUCUGCUAUUUGUGUCUGUUGCGUGCUCCUUUCGUUUUGCAGGUGGCGCUGGAGCAGGUGGGCAAAAGGCGUGCGGCGCGGAUGGGUAGGUGUGCGGCGGCAGUGUCAGAGUUAGGUGGUGCUAGGGUUUUUUUUUUCUGAAAAUGUUUUUAGGCCUAUUUUGGGUAUUGGGUUUUGUAAUUGGGUUUGGGUAGUUUAGUUGGGGUUAAUUUUUAGUGUACUGGGCUUAUAGAUUGUUAAUUGAUUUUGGUUUGGUUUAUUUGGUAUGGGCCCGGGCAAAUUUGGGCUUCUACAGCUGCCCCUCUUUGCUCGUUGUCAUGUAACAAGAACAGAGCAAAGACCAAGAAAGGCCAAUUUUGCCCGGUCUCGCCUGUUUUGGACUUGUCCUGGUUCUUUUCUUCAAGUAGCUUCACUCCAGUCCACUAUGUCUUGUUGCUUCAAUCCACUCCACCGCAGUUCAAAGAGGUACGGCUUGUAGCUUCAAUCCACUGCUACGUUAGGGAGAUAGGAUCGGUUGUUUUAUUCUGUUCCACUGUAACCUUAGGGAGAUAAGACUUGAUGCGAUCUACUCUACUAUAACUUCAUAGAGAUAAGAUCUGUGAUUUUAAUCCACUCCACUUGCAACUUCAGAGAGAUAGAAUUAUCGGCUUCAAUCUGAUGUGAUCUAUUCUACUAUAACUUCAGAGAGAUAAGAUCCUUUAUUUUAAUCCACUCUACUGUAACUUCAGAUAGUUAGGAUUACUAGCUUCAAUCUACUCCGUUAUAAUCUCAGGGAGAUAAGAUCCCUGGCUUUAAUCUGCUCCACUGUAACAUCAGGGAGAUAAGAUCUCUGGCUUCAAUCUGCUCCACUGUAACCUCAGGGAGAUAAGAUCUGAAAUUCUUCGGUCUACUCCACUGUAACCUCAGGGAGAUAAGACCUGAUGCGAUCUACUCUACUGUAACUUUAGAAUGAUGAGAUCCUUUAUUUUAAUCCGCUCCACUGUAACUUCAGGGAGAUAGGAUAGUGUCUUGGAUCUACUCCGCUGUAAUCUCAGGGAGAUAAGAUCUCUAGCUUCAAUCUGCUCCACUAUAACCUCAGGGAGAUAAUAUCUGAAAUUUUUUGGUCUACUCCACUGUAAUCUCAGGGAGAUAAGACCUGAUGCGAUCUACUCUGCUGUAACUUCAGAGAGAUAAGAUCAUUUAUUUUAAUCCGCUCCACUGUAAUCUCAGGGAGAUAGGAUUACUAGCUUCAAUCUGCUCCGCUGUAAUCUCAGGGAGAUAAGACCUGAUAUGAUCUACUCUACUGUAACUUCAGAGAGAUAAAAUCAUUUAUUUUAAUCCGCUCCACUGUAAUCUCAGGGAGACAGGAUUACUAGCUUCAAUCUGUUCCGCUGUAAUCUCAGGGAGAUAAGACCUGAUACGAUCUACUCUACUGUAACUUCAGAGAGAUAAAAUCCUUUAUUUUAAUCCGCUCCACUGUAAUCUCAGGGAGAUAAGAUUACUAGCUUCAAUCCACUCCGCUGUAAUCUCAGGGAGAUAAGACCUGAUACGAUCUACUCUACUGUAACUUCAGAGAGAUAAGAUUCUUUAUUUUAAUCCACUCCACUGUAAUCUCAGGGAGAUAAGAUUACUAGCUUCAAUCUGCUCCGCUGUAACCUCAGGGAGAUAAGAUCUGAAAUUCUUCGGUCUAUUCCCUAGGGAACAUGACCUGUAUAAUGAACCUAAUUAUGCCUAAUGAUUAGGAUGGCAUGAUCAAAAUGAAUCAAAUGCUCCUAACUAGACAUGUGUGAAUGGUGUUUGCAUGAAUGUAGAAUUUUAUUUUUCGUGAAUGAUCUCGCUUAGGUUAUCAUUACUCGAAGUUUAUUAAGACUUUGUCAUCGAAGUGCUAUAACACCUUCCUUCUCGACUGGCAUUUUCUGAAGAAACAUUUAGUCAGACUGCCCCCACUGUAAACCUCAAAGUUAUAUCCACUGGGACGCCAAAAUUUGUACCAUCACUCUCCCAUUAUAAUCUAAGGGUAGAAAUAUGUGGCUUUUCCUCAACCUUCUCGUUUCACUAUUCGAGGAUACAUGAUGUGAAAUUCUUUGGUCCUUUAUACCAUUCUAAUGAUGUCAUACCAAAUGCUCAUAAAAAAUUUCUUCUCCGAGGAAACCUCUUCCUAUUGCCUGGUGAUCAUUGCUUGCUUGUUUAUUUAAGCUUUGUCAUUAACACGACAUCUUGUCAUUUUGUUCAAUCAAUGCAUUUGACAACAAAAUCCAAAGAGAAAGUCCAAACUUAGACUCUUCCUUCUCAAAUUUCCAACCUUUAAAUUUGGCGUGUUCUAAACAAUAGUCCUAUUUCAGGUUCCUAUAUUAUUUAGAAACUUUUUAGAGUAAUAUGCAAAACUUCCUUUGUGAAAGUUUUAUUAGUCCAUUAAUCAUUAUUCCAAUGCAACAUGCUUGCAAAAAGAGCAUAACAAUGGAUAAGAAUAAAGCUGGUUCUGAGCAUAACUCAAAAUGAAUAAAUUAUCCAAAAUAGUAAAGAAGGAUAAUAAAGAAAUUGAUUGGGAAUGCAUAUCUUGGAAAAGAAUGAAGUAUUCCAAGAACAAAAAAAUUUAAUAUAAAUAAUAUGAGAAUUGGGUGCCCCAGAUAUCGCAGCUUGAACUUCUCUGUACAAAUUUUAUGAAGACCAUUCUGAGUUUGACAUGUGUUUAGGAGAUCUACAUUGCUUUGUCGAUGCCUCAAGAUGUCGCCUACCCUUUCUUGUUGAUUCAGGUAUAACAAGAUCACCACAUGCCCCAAUCUGAUCAAAAUUUAAAUUGCUCAGAUCACCUCAUGCCCCAUUCUGAACAAAUAUUUGAGCCGCCCUUUUCGAGUUUUCAACUCAAAUCCCUUUUGGCCUAAGCGCCCUUUCCGGGUUUUCCUCUUAGCCUCUCCAUUUUUCUUUUUCAUUUAUCAUUUUUCAUUCUCAUUUUUCAUUUUUUUUGACUCAGAGUGCCCUUUGCGGGUUUUCACCUUGGUCAUUUCUCCUUCUUUAAACAAAGUAUUUCUUGACUAGAUCCGAGUUUAUAGGACUAGCAACCUCACUCAGGAUCAGUGCUCUUCUGAAAAAUGUCUUCUUUACAACGUAGGGACAUUCCUGGUUUGGUAUUCAUUUCCCCUGGAAUCCUUUUGGAGAGGAAUGAUCUUUUUCGACAUCCAACCCUCUCGUGGAAUUCUCUGAGAUGGCACUAUUCAUUAUGGGCUCGUAUCAUUUUCCUUUGGCACAUUUGACUCUGCUACAUAACUUUUAGUCUUUUUCCUUUUGAUCAGAUUGAAUUUAUUUUGCUCAACUGAAACUAGAGAACAAUGAUUUCUACUUCAAUAGGUAGAACUACUUCCGUCUUGUAAACCAGAGAAAACAAUGUUGCCCCAGUCAGAGUUCCGAUAACCGUUCGAAAAAACGAGGAAGGCAGAUGGUAAACUCACAUGCCAACCCUUGUAAGUCUCAGUCAUUGUUUACAAUUCAUUACAGUGAUGAACUGUGAUGUCUGAUUUUGAAUUGAUCACGGACCUCAGCUAUCGUGCUAUCAUUCAUGAUACCAUCUUCUCUGUAAUUCUAUAUCGGUAUAUGAUGACAUUGACGCAUGAAGUAGCCUCUACCCGUUUGACGAAGUAACUAAUGAUCUCAAAAAUGAAGUAAUGCCCAUUAGAAGUAUUCAAUAAUGGUGAUGUCCCUCCCCCAUUUCGCUCAAAAUUUGAGUCGCCCUUUUCGGGUUUUCAACUCAAAUCCACUUUUGGUCAAUGCGCCCUUUACGGGUUUUCGCCUUGACCUCUCUUUUUUCUUUUUCUCUUAUUUUUGACUUUGAUUGAUUUUUCUUUUUUCUUUUCCUUUUUUUUUACUUUUUUAUGGAAUCUGAACUCAUAAGGUUAGGCAAGUCCUUGUUAUCUCUUUCGAAGGAUCUUCUUUGAUCGGAUUUCCUUCAUAGAGCCUUCUGGGGUGAAAUUACAACAGAAAACUUUUGAUCUUCCUCUUUAAUCAGGAUAAAAUCCCACAAAACUUGAAGAGAUGGAAGCUCGACUUCAAAUGGGCAAAACUAUACUGAGUCAACGAGAGAGGCAUUUGCCCAGACGAAUAAUCGCAUCGUUCACUGCAAAUUUCUAAAAAUGUGCUGCUGUGCAGAUUUCAUUAUCAGUGAUUAAUCCGGGCAUAUCCUGGUAUGAUCAUACAAAGACAUCUUUGAACUCUAGAGGUGACUCAACAAGGUCUUGCUUCGUCUCUGCGGUCAGGUCAAUUCUAAUCUUUACCACGCUCAAAAUUUCUAAUGAUUCCUUGUGAGGUAGGAUCUGUCUAUCCUCUUAUUCUACCAUUCUCAACAAGUUCAGAGAUAAGCUACGAUCUAUGUCAUUUCCAAAGUCAUGAGAUCCUUCUAAACACAUGCCUCGCUCAAAAGGAAAAUCUGAGUCUGUAGCAGUGUCACUCAUGUCAUUGAUAUCUGGGGACUCAUAAUAAGUACCAAAGAAUAUACAAAAGAAAGUAAAAAUUUAUGAAUAAUUAUUUAUACAAUAUGAUUAUGAAUGAAUGAAUGAUGUGGAAGAAAAUCUAAAAGAAUGAAAUAAUCAGACAUAAUUAUUCAUAAAGAAUGAAAGAAUAUUGGCUCAAAAGUGAAUGCAAAGAUGUAUUUUAUUAAAAUAAUGGCGUUCAAACAUGAGCCUAUUUCACAAAAGAAUUUCUAUCACUUUUAGGCUAAAAACAACAAAAAUGUUCUGAACAUUACUCUAAAUAAGCUCUAAAGACUAUAAGGAUUUCUUCCGCAAUCCAAUCGCUUAGAACACUCCCAAAUUUAUAAGGGCGGGCAUCUAACAAGUUCCCUUUUCAAUUGUGUCCUCAUAUAUGCCAUUGGUGUGAACACUUGCCAACAUUCCUUCAUACAUCUCAUUCAUCCCGUUGUCAACAUGAUUUGGUAGAUGGCUUUUUGCACUAGAUGAAUCACCCAACUUGACAAUACCCAUGUUGAUGAAUUUUUUGACUAGCUUCUUGAAGGCAAUGCAAUUCUCUAUUGAAUGCCCCAUAAUUCCCACAUGGUAGUCACAUUGUGCGUUCAUGUCAUACUAUUUGGGAUACGGGGGUUGUAUGGGUUUUAAGUAAUGAGGAGCAACAACAUGCGCAUCAAACAAGCUUUGAUACAGCUCCUUAUAUGACAUCAAAAUUGGUGUGAAUUGGAGCUUCUCAGUACCUGGUUUCACUCCAAAUUCUUGCCUUAAAGGACUCUGAUGGUUGGUGGUCUCCGUCUUUGGCCUGCCCAUAGUGAUUGGUUUUGAGUGGCCCUUGUUAUAUCCACCUACAUUAUACCUUUUAUUCCCCUUCUUCCUUGGGGCCUUUAUAGUAUCUGGGUACUCUACCCUCAUCUUCUUUAUUUCGGCUAGAUUAGCAACAGGAUUAGCUAAAUCAUUCCUCAAAUUGGAUCCUAAGCCUGUCAGGCAAUUCACUGGUGUCGAUGUACCAGUCUGAUAAUAUUGGGAUUCGAUAGUAAAAAGUACUCCUUGUGGACGCCCAUCUGGCUGAACCUAGACACUUGUCGGAGUACAAUCUAAGGAAUAAACAAGAUCCUCAUUAUCAACCCCAAAGUAAACCACCGAGUCUUUCACUUCUUUUGACUUUCCAGCUAGCAAUCGGUUGAACUGGUUUAUCAUAGUUCUCCGUAAUUCUAGUAUCUGAUUUCUCAUUUCCUGUUGAAAUUUAGUCAAUUGCUCCUGUAUCUGAAUCUGCAUUCGCUCUAAUUUUUUCAACCUUCGUUCCAUUUCUCUAGUCUUUGCUUGGAUAUCGUAAGGGUGUUUGGUUGGUUGGUUUUCCAGGUUAGUUGAAAUAAAUUUACUCGUUUAGACUCUUUCAAUGGAUUUUAAUACAUGUAAUGCAAUGUAAAGCAAAUGCAUGAAAUGAAUGCCUAAAGAGAAGUUGAUUCUGAUUCAAUUACAUUUAGGAAAAUUUUCUAGAAAGCAAAUUCCCUUACAUAAAAUGGAUACAUGUACGGCUUCACCCUCAUAUUCCAAGAAACAACAUCGGUCUUUUUCUUUAUCCGCAUGUUUGAGGUAAUCUCGCUAAUAGAUGCCAUUGCUAGCUCCACUCUUGAUCUUGGUUGUAAUUCAUCAUCUGCCCGUCCUCAUAAGGCUCGUCCGCCUCUUUAAGGGGGUGGAACGUUGAAGGCUCUUAGACAAUUGCCUUGAAUCCUUAGGCCACGAAACAGGGUCACGAACUUUUCCAUCACCAUUCUUGUGUUUCUCGGAAUAUAUUCGGGAAGUCGUAUUAUUUUCCACUUUAUCAAGGAAUCCGUAUUCCAUGACAAGCUUUCUAAUUUAGUAAUCGAACUUGAAUCAAUAUCUCUUUCCUAAGAUGCGAAUGCAAUGUAAUGCAAUCAUAAUCAAAACACAACAAGAAGGGUUAGAACAAAACAUAAGCAAGCACGGAAAACAAAAAGUACCUAAUCAGGUAAAUACUAGGGAUUUGGAGUGGUUCUACCUAGGUUAAGUUCCUAAGUCCACUAUAUGAGGUUUGGCUCUAGAGAUAAGGUACCCGAACCAGCAGAUUCCUUAAUCCUCACCCAUUAUAGGCUCAUACAGACCGAUUUCGGUUCAGGGGAAUACAUUUCCCUAUGGCUUCACGGAGACGAAAAUCUCACGAAGACAUAGGUACGGAUGUACUCCGAAAGUGAUCCACUAUCCUACAAAGAGGUGAAAACCUCACAAAGGAGUAGCUUCUCACUCCCACUUAAAAGGGAAUAAUCGAGUGGUUAUGUAAUGCAAUAUGCAGAAAUAUAUCAAAAUUCAAAACAAUAAAGUAAUUACAAACCGAAGUAAUGAUAAUCGUAACAAAAACGGAUAAACAUACUACAAAAUGAUCGUAAAUUUAAACCAAGUUUUUGGGUGUCCUCUCGGCAUUCGAUGUGAUUCUAAUUAGGGUAGGCUUCUAAGGCUCAUUAUAUGCGGUUUGGUUCUAAAGCAAGGGUACCCGAACCAACAGAUUCCUCGAUCCUCACUUAUUAUAGGCUCAUGCAGACCGAGUUCAGUUCAGGGGAAUACAUUUCCCUAUGGCCAUGCGGAGAUGAAAAUCUCACGAAGACAUAGGUACGGAUGUAUCUUAGAAGCGAUUCACUAUCCCAUGCGGAGGUGAAAACCUCACGAAUGCAUAGCUUCUCACUCCCACUUAAAAAGGUGUGACCAACGGUCAUGCAAUGCAAUGUGUAGAAAUAUACAUCUACACUCAAAAUAAAGCAGUAAUUAUAAUUAAAAUAAUAAAGGCCGAAAUAAAGGCAAGUGAAAUGCAAUAAAAGGAUCGUGUCAAGUUUUUAAUCUUCGACAAAAGACAAAAAUAAUCAACAUAUGGCUUGACUCUCUUAUAUAUUUUUUAAAGUCCCCAGUGGAGUCGCCAAGCUGUUGACACCAUUUUUUUGAUGAAAACGGGGUCGACUUGGGUUUUGAAAAAUGAAAGAAAAAACGGAAGUCGCCACCAAUCCUUUUUAAUAAGGUGUGAUUGGAUCACCUUAAAAGUGAUUGUUUUUAAUAAACAAUUUGAUUUUAUUAAAACAAUGAUUUUGGUCCGCGAAAUUCAGAAAAAACGGGUUCGGAAGUCGGUUACGCACGAGGAAGGAUUAGCACCCUCGUAACGCCCAAAAUUGGUACCUAGUUGAUUAGUUAAUGUCUUAAUGUCGAAAAUUGUAAACUUUGAAGAAUUUUAAAAAAAUAUGAUCCUUGUAUUGAAAUAUUGAAAUUUUUCGAAAAAGGGGGGCCAUAUUUCACAUUAAUCGAGAAAGAGAAUCAUAUACAGUAAGUUAGGACACAAUGUCUCGAAUUCUUGAUACGUAAAAAAAUGCUUAUUUAAAAGAUAUUUUAUCUAUCUCAGAUUUAAAAAAAGAAGAUCACGACCAGUAAGUUAGGAUGCGAUUUUUAAAUUUUCGAGAUCAUUUAAAACUUGAGUUUGAAAAGAUUCGUGCAUUUAGAUUUAUCGUGAAAAUCGAAACCCAGUAAGUGAGGGUACGAUCUUCUCGAAUCUAAACACGAAACGCCAUUUUUUAAAACAAAUUUUGUUAUAUCGAGUAAAAUAAAACACGAAGUCAUAAUAAAGAAUGUGAAAACUAACUACAUUGUCGAUAUGCAUGGCAAUACCAUAAUGAAUACGGAAGUAUAAAAAUAAUACAGGCAAUAAUAACCAAAAUAAAAUAAACAAUAAGAACAGAUUGAUAACAUGCGAAAUAAUAAACCGUAACGUAUAAAUAAGAUGCAUAAAUACGUAUAAAUAUUAUAAAAAAAUAAAAAUAUAUAUGUAGAUAUAUAUAGAUAUAUAUAUAAGUUAUAAAAUAUAAAAAUAUGUAUAAGUAUGUGUAUAUAUAUACAAGUAAAUUAUGAAAAUAUGUACGUAUAUAUAUUAUAAAAAUAUGUAUAUAUAUAAAUUAUAAAGUUUAAAAUAUAUAUAUAAGGAGGUAUAUAACAAAAUCUAAAAGCGGUAUAAAUAGGUAAAUAAUAAUAAUAAUAAGGUAAGCAAUAAUAAUAAUAAUAAUACUAUAUUAAUGAUAUAAUAUAAUAGUAGUAAUAAGACUGAAAUAGCUAAUCUAAUAAUAAAAUAGCUAAAAAAACAAAGCAGGAUCAAAUUGGAAAUAAACUAAAUCUUUAGGGAGAAAUCAAAACUGAAAAAUAAAAAAAUGGACCAAAUUGUGAUGCGCGCGAAAAGUAGAAGGGCCAAUUAGGAAAUAUUCCCACAUCACUGAAACGGUGUCGUUCUAGGGGAAUACAAGCGCAUGGUCGAAGGACCAAAUCGAAACAGAAGCAAAAUUACGUAGCCAAAAUCAAAAAUAAAAAGGAGAUCUUAUCGAACACGCCACAAAGGAGGGGGACCUAUGGCGCAAAUAUCCCCCUAAGGCAAAACGCGCGGACCCUCCGGGUCGGGUCGGGUCAACGCGCGGAACCCCUCACCAAAACGAUGCCGUUUCACUUUUAGUAUAAAUAUUAAAAAAUCUCAAAAAAAUCAGAUUCACCAUUUUUUUAAAAAAAACUGAGAGAGAACUCUCUCUCUCGCGUUCCCUCAGGCCCUGGCGCCGGUCAUCGGCCGAUCUAGGCCUCCAGCGUGCCUCCGCCUUAGAACCGCCGCAUGCGGUGGCCGGCGACUCCAAAAUCAGAUUUUUUUAUCCUUUUUUGAAGCCAGGCAUGUCUUAGGCACAAAUCUAGGGCCAAACCUCAAAAAAAAGAGUCCGAAGCCUGAAGAACGAUGGGAGACCGCUCGUCUUCUCCCUUUCGGUGCGGCGCAGGUAAGCUUUCUUUGCCUCCUUUUUAUUUCUUAUUUCUUAUGUAAAAGAUAAAAUAAAAAAAUAAAAUAAAACAAGCAGAAACGCAAAUCUGAAAAAAAGAAGAAGAAAAAGUCACCUUCAAAAUAUGUUUUGGUUUUUUUUAUUUAUCUUAAUGUUCAUAGCAAACCGAAAGAACAGAAAAAUCUUCUUCUUUUACAGCAAACUCAGCUUUUGCCGAAAAGAAAAAUAAAAAAGAAAAAUCCCCCCAUUUUGAUUACAUUAAACUUUUGCUUUUAUAGCCAAGUAUAUGUUUUUGCUACUGUUUGUUUCUGCUAUUUGUGUCUGUUGCAUGCUCCUUUCGUCUUGCAGGUGGCGCUGGAGCAGGUGGGCAAAAGGCGUGCGGCGCGGAGAGGUAGGUGUGCAGCGGCAGUGUCAGAUUUAGGUGGUGCUAGGGUUUUUUUUUCUGAAAAUGUUUUUGGGCCUAUUUUGGGUAAUGGGUUUUGUAAUUGGGUUUGGGUAGUUUAGUUGGGGUUAAUUUUUAGUGUACUGGGCUUAUAGAUUGUUAAUUGAUUUUGGUUUGGUUUAUUUGGUAUGGGCCCGGGCAAAUUUGAGCUUCUACACGCCUAUUUUGGACCUUUAAGCAAUGCCGAGACGCAUUUCCAUACUGCAAGCCAUUGGUAGAAAUUGAUGGUACCUUUAUGUUAGGUAGGUAUACUCAUCGACUAUUGCUUGCAGUGACACAGGAUGGCGGUGGGAGAAUUCUUCCAAUUGCAUUUGCAAUAACACCGGAGGAGUCGUCUGAUGACUGGGAUUUCUUUCUCUCUAGGUUAAGGAGGCAUGUGUGCCCCCAACCUGAUAUAUGUGUUAUUUCAGAUCGGGGCACCAGUAUACUAGCUGCAUUUGAUCGAAAGGAAGCUUAUGGCAGCGCACACACCAUAGAUAUUGCCUAAGACACGUUGCUUCGAACUACUACAGGCAAUAUCCAUCUAAGAACGAACAACGACAAGUGACCAACAUGGGUAUUUAGUCUAUAUCUGUGUUAUUUUGUUUGUCAAUUUGAAUUAGUUUUAUUGGUAGAAGUGGUAUGUAAUAUUCGCUAUGAACUUAUAUUGGCAGGGUAUGAAAUAAAUAAAGAUCGUUUUCACGAGAUGUUGGUAAUUUUACGUUCAAUUAACGGAGAAGGGGCGGACUACCUCUGUAACAUAUGUUUCGAACAGUGGGCACAAGUAUACGAUGGCGGCCUACGAUAUGGCCAUAUGACGUCGAACUUGGCUGAAUGCAUAAAUUCUGUUCUUAAAGGAACGCGCCAUCUACCGAUAACAUCGGUUGUGCGAUAGACAUAUUUUCAUUUGGCGGUGCUAUUUCCAAAGCGAACAGCAAGUUAUGCAGGCCAGAUGCAGGGAGGCCAUAUAUGGUGCAGUAAGGUAGUUCAAGAAAUUAACAAGGCCAAGGCGAGAGCAAACACCAUGCACACAGUGUGUCACGAUCGAGACAAUUUAUGGUUUCGCGUGACAGAGUUUGACAGACCACACCAAGGUGUUGUUGGCGGGCAACAUUGUGUACACUUACGAAAUAGGACUUGUGGCUGUAGGAUGUUUGAUGCACUUCGUUAUCCAUGCGCUAAUGUUAUUGCAGCUUGUCAGAAUCUCCGUCUAGAUCCGAUAAGUUAUGUGGACGAAGUGUACAAAUUAGAAAACAUGUACAGCGUUUGGAGACAAGUUUUCCUACCAGUCCCAGAUGAACGUAAAUGGCCACCCGUAUCUCUUGCUCCUUUUAAGUUGUUACCGGAUAGAGAAUUGCGUCGUAAACCAAAGGGUCGACCUUGCUCGACUAGAAUACGUAAUAAUAUAGAUAUUCAAGAAAUAGCCAGUCAACACAAGUUGUGCGGAUGGUGUAGGAAUCCAGGCCAUACAAGUCGAUCAUUCCCUAAUCGGAAUAGUAGAAUUUAAUUGUAAAUAAAUUAUAUUUUUUCAAUUACUUAUUGAUAAUUGUAUUAAUUGUUAGUAAAAUUAUCAAAUUAUAUCAAAUUAUUAAUUGUUAGUACCAGUCAAAACAUUUUUUCAAAUCUAACAUUAUGUGAAUGUAAAAAUAUUAAUUGAUAAUUGUAUUAAUGGUUAGUAGAAUCAUCAAAUUAUAUUUAACUUAAGGGUUAGGGUUUUAAAGUUAAGGUUUUAGGGUUUAGGGUUUUUAAGUUUAGGGUUUAUAGUUUUUAAGUUCAAGGUUUAAGUUUGGGGUUUUUAAAUUAAAAGUUAGAGUUUUGAGGUUUAAGGUUUGAGGUUUGAGGUUUUUUAAGUUUAGGGUUUAAUGUUUUUAAGUUUAAGGUUUGGGUUUUUUAAGUUUAGAGUUUAAGGUUUUUAAGUUUAAGGUUUAGGGUUUUGAGUUUAAAGUUUAAGAUUUUUUAGGUUUAGGGUUUGGGAUUUUUUAAGUUAAGGGUUAGUGUUUUUAAUUUAAGGGUUAUGGUUUUUAAGUUAAGGGUUAAGAUUAGGGUUAGAGUUUUAAAGUUAAGGUUUUAGGGUUUAAGGUUUUUAAGUUUAAGGUUUAAAGUUUUUGUGUUUUAUGGUUUAGGGUUUAGGGUUUAAAAGUUAAAGGUUAGUGUUUUUAGGUUUAUGGUUUAUGGUUUUUAAGUUAAGGGUUAAGGUUUUUAGGUUUAGGGUUAGGGUUAGGGAUUUUUAAGUUUUAGGUUUAGGGUUUUAUGUUUUAAAGUUUAGGGUUUAUAGUUUUUAGGUUUAAAGUUUAAGGUUUUUAAGUUAAGGGUUAGCAUUUUUAAGCUAAGGGUUAGGGUUUUUAAGUUAAGGGUUAGGAUUAGUGUUAAGGUUUUAAAGUUAAAGUUUUAGUGUUUAGGAUUUUUAAGUUUAGGGUUUAAGGUUUUAAUUUUGGGGUUUGGGUUUUUUAAAUUAAGUAUUAAGGGUUUUAGGUUUAGAGUUUGGGGUUUUUAGUUAAAGGUUAGAGUUUUUAAGUUUAGGGUUAAAUGUUUUUAAGUUUAGGUUUAGAGUUUUUAGGUUUAAGGUGGGGUUUUUAGGUUUAGGGUUUGAGGUUUUUAAGUUAAAGGUUAUGGUUUUUUAAUUUAAGGGUUAGGAUUAGGGUUAAGGUUUUAAAAUUAAAGUUUUAAGGUUUGAGGUUUGGGGUUUUAAGUUAAAGGUUAGAUGUUUUAGGUUUAAGGUUUGAGGUUUUUAAGUUUAAGGUUAUGAGGUUUUUAAGUUUAGGAUUUUAAAGUUAAGGUUUUAUGGGUUAAUAUUUUUAAGUUUAGGGUUUAUGGUUUUUAAGUUUAAAAUUUAGGGUUUUAAGUUAAAGGUUAGGAUUUAGGGUUUUAAGUAAUAACUUAAAAAAAAUUCUAUUUUAUUACAUCAAAUAAUAUUAAAAUAUUCAAAAUAUUUGUACAAAUAAAUUUAAAUACAAAAAUCAAUCUCCGUGCCCGCCGGAUUUAGUGCCAUAUGGCGGCCCUCGACGGUUACGCGCUGGAUUCCUCUUUUGUCCAACUUCCAGCGGGGAUUCUGGUUCUUCCGGUAAGGCAUCUGGUUGUCGGAGUUGGGACGAUGAUCCACCUUGAAAGAAUAGUGAAUAUGGAGGUGUUUGCAUCACCAACGGCGACGGUGUUUGAAACCCAUACGGUGGCCCCUCUUGCGAUCCCUCGUGUGCCGCUUGCCUAUACAUCGGCGGUCCACUCGGCGUAACAGGAAAUGGAGCUGAACCGGGCCAUUGGCUCCAACCUGCUAUAGGACUCAAAAAAAAGAUACAUAUAAGGGUUAGGAUACAAAAAAGGGUUAGGAAACGCACCUGGCAUCAUCUGAAAAGGCGGUUCUGUGGGUAUAAUCGGUUAAACUGCUGGGUCGGGUGGCUGUGUCGGUGCUCUCGUUGGGCCUGAUGAUUGCAUGGCCGCUGAUGAUGGGCCGGGUGAAUGUCUGGGACUCGUUGAGGAGCCAGCGUCGUCGUCUCCUCGUCUUGGAUUAGAGGCCCUCGUCUUUCCCUUUAGACACGUAUUUGCCACUGCCUCUCCUCUGGCGUCAGUAAAUACGGCUUGCCAUGGAUCCUAAAUCAUGGCAUGUAUUCCGGCACGCAUGCUAACUCCGGAAUGAUAAUUGGUUCCCGAGUAGAUAUAUAUUCAUAUCGAUCUUUCCAUAUUUCCAUGUACUCGGACCAAUUUCUCGGUCAAUCCGUAUUCAAUUGCCGAAGGUUGACUUUGUGUUGAUCGUCAAACACCUCAGGUUCCACAGGAAUCAGUUGUCUACAUCCAAAUUGUCGUAGCACUUUGUCUGACUUGUGUGGCUCCACGGUCGUACAGUUGAUCAACGCGACUUUCACGUACCAAGCGUUUCGAUUUUGUAAGAACUCAUCCGGAAUUACUGCCCGAAUUGUCGGAUCCUCGUAUGAUGUCCAUUGAAACUAUAUGAACAUUAUAGAAAUAUUAGUAUAUAUAUAAUACUAAAUACUAAUUACUAAUUACCAAUCGACUAGCGAAUGAUGGAAAUAUCAAUUUUAUUUAAUACUUACAUGUGCUUCCGGCUGUUGGUCUAAUAGAAGCCGUAUAUCUUCAAGUUCGGUAGGUAAUCAAGCAUGACUUGCUGAAUGGUUCCACCUAAUUAAAUAAACUUUUAGCAUACUUUUAUUUUUAAAUAUCUAUAUAAUAAUUGUAAAAUCUAAUAUAAAAUUUACCUCAUUAUGAGUGGAAAUUUAUAUGGGUGGUCCACUCGAAGACGUAGAAAUGGACAGCGAAACCGUGCCUAUGACUGCAGUAGUGACAAGCAACCUCCGAUUUUUGCUCUCAUCGGUCGCAUCUCCCCACACAUCUCUCGAUAUAAUGUGGCCAAGACGGCAGACCCCCAACUCAAUUCACCAGCUGCUCUAAAAUCAACGAGUUUCAACAGCAAUCUUAGAUGUACGCAGCUCCGUGACAAGUCCGGCAUCAGAUAACCUCUAAUUAACUAAAAAAUGUAUGCCCGAGCAUAUCAGAUUCUUUCUAUAUCGGUUGAAUCUUAAUCCGGAUCCGAGAAUGUGUCUUGCAACCAGCCCAUCUCGAUCUUACCUCCGUCCAUUUUCUCCGGAAUAGCGCCCAGAAGCUCAUAGCACACCGCUGGCCAAUCGCUAGAUUGGGCAGACCCCGUGACUAGGUACCCGUCCACCGGCAAUCCCAAUUACAGGCUGACGUCUUCCAAAGUGACAGUGCACCCUCCACAUGAAAAAUGAAAUGUGUGCGUCUCGGGUCUCCACCUCUCGAUCAACGCACUGGUUAGUUUCGGGUCCACCUUGCAUCCCCAGCCUACUGUUGCCACGUGCUAAAAACCCGCUUCCCGCAGGUAGUUCUCUACCAACGGUGAUGGAGGAGCAUGCAUAUUCCGGAUAUUGCAUUCCAAUACCUGAUCUACAGACUUUUAUAACAAAUAAUAAAUUAAUAAUUAUCUAAAAAUACAUAAAUAAAAAAAUUUAAAUAAUAUUUAAAAAUUAAAUUUAACACUUACCAUCUUCAUUUGUUCCACGGAUAUGUAGUGCUUAUCAAGACGAGUCAAUCCUUCGUCCAUUACUGAAAUCGUACAAAUUUUUUUGGUUUAAAAAUUAAGGAUUUAAGAGUAAUUUUUUUCAGUUUAAGAAAAAUUAAAAUUAUUUAAAAAUAUAGGAAUUUAAGAGAAAUUUAAAAGGAAAUUGAGAGUUAAUUGAGAUUAAAUAUGAAUUUGAGAGAAAUCAGGAAGGAAAUUGAGAGGAAAUUGAGAGAAAAUUUGAGAGAAGAUUUGUUUAUGAAAAAAAAAAUGGGUGAGGGGUAUUUAUAAGUUUUUUUUUACCGUUGGAGGGGACAACGAUCAAAUUUUUGACUGUUACACUGUUCACGCGCGGUCUAAAUCGUGUCCCAAGGACGCGUCACGUCAUCAAAGCGCGGCCACGUCAGAACACUUUGCUGACGUGAUAGCAAAUCGCGCUCUCAAGGCCGCGCUUUGUUGCACGUCAUCAAAACGCUCUGACAUUACCGCGCUUUGCUGACACGACCGCGCUUUGCUGACACAUCCCCUAACAUCGCACUGACGUAGACGUAAUUUAGGGAAAAGAGACUCAUUCUGAUAAAUAAUAAAAUACCGAGCCCAUUUCAGUAAAUUUAAAAAAAAUUAGCUUUUUUUGAUAAAUAGACCUCGGUAAACAAUAAUAUCCAUCAAAAUUAUGGCAACAUCCGCUGCUGCAACAAGCUUUAAGAAGAACUCAGAAUUGACCGAGAUAGCUACUAUAAGGAUUAAAAUCCGGCUCAUAUAUUCUCAUUACCAUUCACGUGACUACAUAAAUUGUAAAGUCAUACUUGUGAAUAAAGAUUGAUCAAAGUAAUGGAAGAAAACCAGACCCAAAUAUAAAGUGCAUAGAAUCCAUGCUGUCCAACAAGAUGAUAAAUAUAUAUUUCAAAACAACCCUACGUACAGAAGAUCUCGUCUUUUCUCUCUCUCUCUCUCUCUUCUUUGGCCUAAGCCCUUGGAUAAGUAGAUUUACUUACAAUAUCAACAUUGAAAUCCCCUUCAAUGAGCAGUAUGGGGAAUAGUGUUGAGUGUCCGAUGAGCUUGGACCGCACAAGCACAAUGCACUGAUGUUAAGCUCAAGCAGCCACUCAUGACAAGGGUAUGCCUUCCGGAGCAAGUGUGAAGGGCUGGAAACGUAUCGCAUAAUGUCUGUACGGCUGAAGGAGUCAGUGCAGUACACUGGCUUAUAUUCAGACUUCUAAGACCUUCCUCAUCAUAUCUACCCUUCAUGGACUGCCACAACGAAGGCUUGUUAUUCACUCGGCUGUGAGCCAGCGAGUACAUCGCCCUGUCUGUGAUAUUGCGACAAUAGUACAGAUCAAGUGACCUUAAAUGGAGGCACUUAUCUGCCAACGCAAUCACACUAUCAUCUACAAUAAGAUUUUUAGAGCUUAUCAGUCUUCAUCGACAAAACAAGCCAUACUUUAGUUCCUAAAUCAACAAAUAAUGUUUCAAUCUGAUACUGCUGUGACGGGAAGACAGACAAAAUCACCUCUAGGAAAAGCGAAGGGCAAGACAAAUUCAACUCGAUAAAAAGUAUGAAUAAUUUUAAAAUUGAGUUUAUAUGCUAGCAUUGGGACAAGGUGCUGCAUAUUCACUAUAUUAGACUGCUGCUACCCUCGCCAACACAUAGAAGGCUAUUCCCUGAAGAAACAUGCAAGGUAAAGAUACAUAUCUAUAUAAUACAAAAUAGAUAUAAAUCUGGCUAGAGAAUCAGAAACCAAAGCAAUAUGUUGAAUUAUAAACACACACACAUAUACAUAUACAUAUACAUAUACAUAUACAUAUACAUAUACAUAUACAUAUACAUAUACAUAUACAUAUACAUAUACAUAUACAUAUACCAACUAAGCACCGAAUCCAAGGAAUACCUGUUAUGCGAACACAGCCGCACAAGUCCAGGCAUUUGAGAUCAGGGCAUCCGUAAGCUAGACUCAUCACUCCUAUAUCACCAACAUUAUCACACCAUCCCAGAUUUAAAGAUUGCAACAUUUUGCAGUUUCGUCCAAUAGCCUGUGCAUAUAAUCAAUUAAAGCAACUCGUUUUUAAUCAGCAAAAAUAACUAUUCAGAGUACUGUUCGUACCUGCAAUGCACGGUCAGUUGCAGCUUUAACACAUCCACAGAGAUUUAAUAUUUUUAGUUUUUGACAAAAGUUAGUCAAAUAUUCAAGAGCUCCAUCACUGAAAGAUGUGCAGCCACUGAUAUUAAGCUUCGUAAUGUUAGGACAACCACGGGCCAAUGCAUACAAAGAGUGAUCACUAAGCUUGAAACUUUUGCUUAGGUCCAGCUCCUGUAUAUCAUGACAAAAGUUUGCAAUAGCCUCAACAGCAUUGUCCUCGAGCUGCGGAUACUCUUGACGCAGUAUUAGAGUUUGCAAUCUGGUGAAUUUAGGAGCAAGAGAGAGAACCAAGUUGUUCAUAUUCUUUCUGCACCUGAUGCAAGAUUUCACACAAACCAAUUAUAUGACAAGUAGGAUAUUGAGGAAAAAAGGUACAAAGGACAAAUGAUCUGAUGUUUGCCCAAAUACGAGCAAAGAAUAAAUUAAAAGAUAAAAUAAGGAAAUGGAUCGCACGUCACUCAUUGCUAAAACAGUAUUAAUUGGGCAAAAAAAUUAAUAUUUAACAAGUUACAUACAGGAGAGAAAACAAGAAGUAAAUGCAUGACAAACACAAAAAAAUGCAAAUGCAGCUAAGAAGAAUAUGAAAAACUUUUGUGGCCAACAAGCUAGAAUUAAGAUAUCCGAAGAUCCUCCUUCUAAACCAAGCCUAACAGUAUUAAGAUUAUAUGUUUUUCAUGUUAUGUAAUAACUAUCAGGUGGAGCACGAAAACUGUCAUAACCAUGAUUAACGGUAAAUUAGGACAAUUGAUCAACCCAAGCUGGAGUUAGGUUUCUGCUCAUGGAUCACAUAAGUUUAUGCUAUCCAUUCAGAAACAGAGAUGUUAGGCAUUACAAGUUCGGAGUACUGAUAAAAUCAACCAGACACUAUCUUCAAUAUUAAUAAAAACAUGGGAUGACCAAUAUAUUAUUAAUAAUCUUAUAUCCCUAAUGAAGCUUCCUUAAAAUUAAAAAAAGCCAAGACAAAUAAAUAACUAAACUGCCAAAAGGUAAGAUACUUCACGCUAUGAAUGCUAAAAUUGACCAGGAUAUACCACUCGGGAGGUGCCAGCAAUCCAAAUCGUGCAAGUUUGCUGGCUUAUCAUAAUUCAAACACAAAGUGAGCAGUGCAAAUAGAAAAGGCAUGAAUCAGAAGCAAACUGAAAAUGGAAAUUUAUGAGAUUAACUAAACAAAUUCUUGAGGAGGAAGACUGAAAAGCCUUAAAGGCACUUAAAAAUAGAGACUGAUGCAACAGUUGGUUCAUUUUGAUAACUAGCACUGUGAAUCAAUCCAGUAUAUUGAGUACUUUGGGAGAAUGGUUUAGGCUCUUGUUGCCUAUCAGUCUGAGAAACUAGCAAUAAGAAAAUUCACAAUUCCUCAAGUUGGGGUUGAUGUAUAUGAACAGUAUCUAGAAUUGAUAUUAUGCAAAGAGAGCAACAAUAUUGUCACCAUGGACAUAGCAUUAAGAAAAAGGUCUGGAUUAAAGCCUUGCUAUCUGAUGAGUAUAGGCUGAAAUUUGAUCAAAACUACUAAAAGGUUUUUACCUUAGAGCUAGAAAUAAACAAUCAUGGAACAGAAAAUCAGCUUUAUGUUAAUUCAAAGAUCUAGUUUUCACAAACAACAAAAACCUAUUUAUUAUCUAAGUCUUACCCCCAAAACUGUUUUACAGGAAAAAUAAUGUGUUUGCUUGUGCCAGUACUCGUCAGUUACAUCAAAAGGAGAUACUAUUACUUAGUAGUUCUAAUCUUAUAACUAUUUGAGAUAUAAUAGCUAACCUGCACAAAAAGCAUAACAUAAACAUCAAACAAUGGUUGAAAUGGGGAAAAAAAGGAAAAAUAAAAGCACAACUGCACAAGUGUUGGUACGUUUAUAUAAGAGUAAACAGUGAAAAGAGCACAUACCAUGAGAGACUGAGUUGUGUGAGGCCGAAGCAAAUAGCAUCCCUCCACCCACAACAAACACCGGAAGCAACAAUAGCAGUCCGAUCAUCGACAAGAGGCACAAUUCUCAACAGCAGCUCCAUAGGAAUAUCUUUCCACUCAGUGAUCACCGCUCCCUCCAUCCUAACUCCCACGCCACUAUUUCCAGCAGCAACCAUCAGCAGCUUCUCAAAGCACGAGUUCAACUCUUCACUUCUCACCUUUGCUUUGCUUAUCAUUUAGCUCUUUUCUCUACCACCAUCUUACACAAACUUAUAUUUUUAUGUUAUGGAGUAGAUAAUUAUUCCUUUAUGCCUAUAACCAAAAAACAGACCUUAAAUUCAGUGACCAAAGCCUAAUAAAACGACAAGUGUAUAGAAAGGCAACAAACUCUAUGUGCCAAAACCUUAGAAAAACUGCAGAAAACAGAGGACCAUAAAAACAAUCAAAUUCCUAAAAAAAAAAAUUCUUUUUGGAUAUUCUAAGUACCUUGGACCAAACUAAAAAAUUUACCUUCCUUUUAGCUUUAACUCGUCAAGGGACAUACCAAAACAGGUAGUUCAUAAGAAAAACAAAAGCAAACCUUUUUGGGGUAUAAGAAAGACCCAUUUCAACAAACUGGAUAUUAGAGUGAUAGCCAUAAAAAGAAGUACAGAAAUGAUCGGCGAAAACGAAAAAGGAAACUAAAACCAUGACUUUUAUUUGACUAAAUAUUUGUAGCUAAAAGUAACAACUUUAUAUAAGUUCAGAAAUUUGUGGUUUUUCAACUAAAAGAUUUAAAAAUGAAUCAGCUUGAAAACAUGCAGCUCAAAUUUAAGCAACAAAAAGAAAUGGAUGAAACAAAAAUUAAAACGACAGAUAACUCCCAACAGAAAACAAAAGAAGGGAUGAAAAUUAUGGAAAGCUCAGAUUAUAAUCAUACCUUUCUCUGGGUUUUCUUCGUUUUCUUUGCUUUGUUCUAUUAAAAAUUCGUUUGGGUGUUUUUCUGUGUUCUUAGAAAGAAAAACAGAGAAGCAAGUAAAGACAAAAGGGGGGGGUUAUUAAGACAUAAAAGAGAGAUUAAAAAAAAAAGAGAGACGUACGGGAAGAGAAUUAGGGGAUACGUGUCAGAAAUCCAUCCGUGACAACGUAAUAGGACCAAUAGAUUUUCAUGAUUAAGGAAUCAUAACAAAAGCUCUCCUUUUUCUUUUUCUGGGGAAAAAGAGAGAAAAGAAAUCAGAUUAUUUUUGUUUCCAAAAAAAAUGGAUAAAUAAAAAAGAGGGAUUGAGGUGAAUGUAGAAAGUUCGGUGUGUUUUGUUUAAAACAGAAGCCGCACUGGAAAGCAAUAUAAAAGAAUAAAGAUGCCACUUUCUUAAAAUUCGGGUGGAUGUCGCAUUAAAUCAAGGCGGGAAAUAAAAAGAAAUCAAAGCUCAUUAUAGAAUUAAAUAAACAUUUUUGGUAGUUUAGAUUUGUUUGGCUGGUGAGUAUUACUUGCCCAAAAUUAUUAACCUUAAAAAUCUUUUGUAUUAUUAUUAAUCAGUCAGAUUAACCGGGGAGGAAGAUGGUGGUUUGUUUGGAAGAUGAACAUAGUAGUGCAUGAGGGGACCGUAUAAUUUUUUUAUAUCUUCAUAUCAAUUUUAUAUUUUUUAAUUUUUUUAUUUUUAUGAAAAUAAUAUUAGAUUAAACUAAAAGAUAUCACGUGUCACAAUCUUAUUAGUCCGUCAAUUUAUUUUAACGAUCAACAUGAUCAACAAAGAAAAUCGUUAACAGAAGAGCUUAAUUAAUUAUUUUAGUUAAUGAUAAAGGCUUAAUGGAGUGCAAUUUUAAUACAAGGGUUUUAUUGAUUUUUUUUAUUUUUUAAAAUUUUUUAAUAUAAAAUCCUCAUGGUUCAAUCACUAGACAUUUGAGUUUUUUAAGUGAUAAUUUUUUAUUAUUUUGUUUAAGGUUUAAACUUUGAUACUUGAGUUUUUUUUCUCUAACAUAGUAUAUGUGUUUUUUUAACAUUGAUAAAAGUUAUAUAUUUUAAUAUGUUAAUUUUUUAGUGCUCAGUUUAAAUUUUAGAAUUAAUUUAUUAAAAACCCAUAAUUUUAAAAAUAUUAUUAUUGACAAUUAAUUUUUAUUAAAUCAACCCUAAACUUGAAAUUUUGUUAUUUUUUCAGGUUUUAAAGUUUAUGAUAUAAAAUUAAUUAUUAAUAUUAUUAAUUAAGUAUGAUUUUCCAUUAAAUAACCCUACCGCCAAAAUUAAACAAUAAAGUAUUAAUGUCAUUACAUUUAGAUAUCAAAAUAAAGGGUGAAGCAGGAUCUAAUAAAAGCCCCUGAAUCCUCUUUGGUCAACUGGAAUGCAGAUUAGUGAAUUUGGAUGCAACUGUAUCCUCAUCUUUUAUUUAUUACUAAUAAAACAUAUUAAAAAGAGACCAACGUAAGAAGAAGAAAAUAUGAAUACUAGCUUAACUUAAUUAUAAGAAAAUAAUUUCUAAUUUUACAUGACCAGGAAUGGAUUCAGGGGAGGCGGGGUCGUUGUUCCCUUUAAAUUUUCACUUUUUUUUAGUUUUAUAUAUAAAUUAUUAUGUAUUUUAGAUUUGGUGUCCACAUUGUAUAACUUUCGCCCCUCUACUCAAAUUGUAUUUCAUAUAAUUUGCUUCCUCUUCAACUGUAUUUCAUUUAAGUCAAGUAUUUAUCAUCUUAUUGAUAGAAUUAUUCUUUUUGUGCUAACUCUUCUUGUGUCUAUAGUAACAACUAAACAAGAAUUUUUAGCCAUGAAAAUUGUGAAGACAAUAUCUUACAGUAGAAUAGAUGAUAAUUUUCUUUCAACUUACUUGGUGGCAUAUAUAAAAAAAAAAGAUAACUUGAGAAUUUUUAACAAAUUCUAUUAUUGAUGAGUUCAAUCUUAUGAAAAAAUAAAUUGUGCAAUUUAGGAUGACUAGUAUUGAAAAAUAAAACUAAAGCCAAGUGUUUUUAAUUUAAUUUUUGAAAUUAUAAUAUUUAUGAUAUUUAUGAUAGUUUUUUUUUUGGCAUAUUAAAAAUAAAUAUUUAAUUUUAUAUGGUGUUUUAAAGUUAAAACGUUAAUUUCUUUUAAAAAUUAUUAAAUUAAUUUAUUUGAUAAAAAUAUCUGAAAAAAAUUAAUAUAUUUUUAUGUUAAAAAAUCGUUCAUUGAUACGUACCUGCGUUAAAUGAGAUAUAGAUGUGGAGAAAAGUAAAUGCAUUCUGGAACUUUCUUUUCUAUCACUUUCUCAGUUUUAUUUGUUUGUAUAUCGUAUAAAUGCCAUUGCCAUGUAAUCUUCCACCAAAAUAAUAAAAAGUUCGUAUUUUGUUUUCUCUAAAGCUGAUCAACUAUUUUUAUUUACCUCUGCCUCCCCUACCAUCACUGCUUUUGUCCCUUGAAUUGGACGCUAAAACUUGUCUAGGUUCAUUAUCCUGGUCGAUAGAGUGGCUUUUAGAGAGAUAGAGGAACUUGAUUGUGCACUUUCACAUCACGAGAUUCCCAUUCUAGUUUUUCAAGUAAGGGUUUUUGAAAGACGUGACGGCAUUGUCAACUUUUAACCUGCGAUUGGAAGAUGUAGUAGAGGAUUUGAUAAUGAGAUUUUAUGUCAAGAUGAGACGUUGGAUAUCCAUUUCGUAAAACAUUGGGUCUUUUAUUUGGUGUCAAUAGAGGAGUCCCCAUGCUGUGAAAUAUAAUCAAACAUGUAAAGAAAUUACAGAGAAUUAUUUGAUGCGGGUCGGGUGAUACAAAGCUUUUUUUUUUUUUUUGUAAAUUAGACUAAUAUUAUUAACACACGGCUCAAGACAAAACAGCAGCUGAAAAGCCAGCAAACACAAUAGAAAAGGAAAACAGCUGGCAAGCAAACAGAACAAUCAAAGCCUAGAAGACAGAACAAUCAAAGCCUAGAAACUACCAAUUCCAAAAGAGCAGAAAAAGAAACUCUUGAGCCAACAACCAGCUUUGCUUCAAUAAACCCAAUAUCAGCCAAUACUUUCCUCACCGUCUGAAACCUGAAACGAGUAUAAUGAGAGAACAAAUACUUUGAACGAACCUCCACCAUUUUCAAAGCAAAAAUGAAAUGACCUUAGAUCCGCUGGUUCCAAACCAAACGGUCAUUCAAUGCCGCCAUCCUCACAGAUUCAGGCACUCCAUUAACUCAACUCCCGCAAAUCUUUCUUCUUCGGCCUUCCAGCACCAGGUUGUGAGACGCUUCAUUAACCAAUNNNNNNN
Molecule: long non-coding RNA, 33499 nt
Filed under: Gossypium barbadense (sea-island cotton)
Lineage: Eukaryota; Viridiplantae; Streptophyta; Magnoliopsida; Malvales; Malvaceae
Description: long non-coding RNA (GBAR_LNC016244)
Rfam family: MIR7486 microRNA precursor family (bases 5801-5887)
Source: RNAcentral